This is a long non-coding RNA of Saccostrea cuccullata (small rock oyster), 516 nucleotides long. RefSeq lists it as uncharacterized. The record is from RefSeq and is a predicted model, not a curated record. NCBI's taxonomy places the organism in Eukaryota, Metazoa, Mollusca, Bivalvia, Ostreida, Ostreidae. The transcript has 3 exons.
CUUUUAUAGGUCUAUGGACAUGAUCAAAAUCGAAAGUAGGAUUGUCCCAACAAAAACAUUUUUUAAUCUGGUAUGAUCCGAACUUUCCUUAUAUUAAUAUGACCCGAUAAUUACGGGUACUGGUGUUGUUUCUGUUGGUAUCAAUAUUAUCAUGAGAAUGUAACACCGGGAAGAGAAAGAAAGAAGAAGAAGAAAGAAAUGACAGAAAAUCUUGUGUGUUAGAAUGGGAAAAUAUUCUGUGUUGUUCCUCAUUUUACAGUUAUUAAAAAUAACUCAAGUUGAGACAUUCACUAAACCUUGUAAUGCAUCCCUGCUGACAGUUUCCAUUGUUACCCGUUGUCCCACAGACGAAGCAUCUUAUAACAUAUCUGCCCGCCAAAAGAACUGUUCAUCAUUGGUGGAUAGCAGCAGUUGUGAAUCCUUCGAAUACCAUUGUGUUUUGAGCGAAGAUCUCAAUAGUGCCAUUGAAGUAUGUGCGCCAUCAUUUUUUAUAAUAGGUAUGUUGAGAACACUUAC